GGAAGUGAUGAGUUUCAAUUGUCGCCCCAGUCCUAAGCAUCAGCUUCGGCUCAUCAUGAGGAUUGACUAUAUUUUACUCUGAUCC
This 85-nucleotide small nucleolar RNA is filed under the name Marchantia polymorpha subsp. ruderalis. RNAcentral's name for it is "Small nucleolar RNA U31b". It matches the Rfam family "Small nucleolar RNA U31b". Lineage: Eukaryota; Viridiplantae; Streptophyta; Marchantiopsida; Marchantiales; Marchantiaceae. The record is from Rfam by way of RNAcentral.